GUGGGGAAUAUUGGACAAUGGGCGCAAGCCUGAUCCAGCCAUGCCGCGUGAGUGAUGAAGGCCUUAGGGUUGUAAAGCUCUUUCAGUGGGGACGAUAAUGACGGUACCCACAGAAGAAGCCCCGGCUAACUUCGUGCCAGCAGCCGCGGUAAUACGAAGGGGGCUAGCGUUGUUCGGAUUUACUGGGAGUAAAGCGCACGUAGGCGGAUCGUUAAGUCGGGGGUGAAAUCCUGGAGCUCAACUCCAGAACUGCCUUCGAUACUGGCGAUCUUGAGUCCGGAAGAGGUGAGUGGAACUCCUAGUGUAGAGGUGGAAUUCGUAGAUAUUAGGAAGAAGACCAGUGGCGAAGGCGGCUCACUGGUCCGGUACUGACGCUGAGGUGCGAAAGCGUGGGGAGCAAACAGGAUUAGAAACCCUGGUAGUCC
This 425-nucleotide ribosomal RNA is filed under the name uncultured bacterium. Its description in RNAcentral is "partial 16S ribosomal RNA". It matches the Rfam family "Bacterial small subunit ribosomal RNA", at positions 354 to 796 of the family's 1533-position model. The record is from RNAcentral.